Molecule: long non-coding RNA, 3208 nt
Organism: Helianthus annuus (common sunflower)
Lineage: Eukaryota; Viridiplantae; Streptophyta; Magnoliopsida; Asterales; Asteraceae
Exons: 10
Source: RefSeq, a predicted model, not a curated record
CUUUCUCACACUUCAUUCCAAACCCUAAACCAUUCUUUCAGCCCUUUCUCUCUGUCUACAUCCUCUUCAAAUCAAACUUGGAUCCAUCACUGUCUUCUCCAAACAAUUCAACAAACAGGUAACAAUUCUUCAGAUAAUGUCGCUAACUUCAUCUUCUUCAUCAAGAAAUUUUAGGAUUCUUCUUCGUGACACCAUCAAUGUGUGAACCGAAUUGGAAAAACAUGCUCCUUCUUCGUGACACCAUCCAUUUUAUUUGGAUAUCUAAUUAGGGUUUCUUGGUCUCAUCACAAACUCAAAAAAAAUUUCGAUCCCAUCUGCUUUCUCUCUCUUUCUCCCUGGUGAUUCAAAAAGACGAAGGUGAUUCAAGUCGAUUGGUGAAGAUUUCACCAUAUCAAUGAAGAAUCUAACCUCUCAGCGGGUAUAAUAAGGAUAUUAGGAGUUUAAGUCUUAGUUGUGUGUUUUGAGUCCACCACAAGCUGUCAAUAGAGGACCUCCGAUAAUCCUUACCAUGGUUCUGGUCGAUUAUAGUGUUUGAGAACUUGAAUUAAAGUUCGAUAGUUACAGUUGAAUGCUCACUGAUUUAACUCUAUUUUAUCAAAUUUUAAAUUCAGUUUCUUUAUUCAAAGUCAAGUUACUUGCCCUAAUUUAUUACAUGAUUUGAGUUAAUAUUAUGUAUUUAUGUGUACCAAGCUGAUGAUCAACACUACAUACCAAGGGCAUUGCUAAUGUAUUUGGAUCCCAGGGUGAUUAAUGGAAUCCAAACCGGCGAAUACAGAAAUCUUUAUAGUCACGGGAAUAUAUUUAAUACAAAAUAAGGAGGGGGUGCAGGAAACAAUUGGGCCAGUGGAUAUCAUCAGGUUAGGAAGUAGGAACUACCUUCAUGUGACCACCAUUAUUUUCUUAAUUUUAAAAGAGUUAAAUAAUAUAAUUUUGUUAUCAUAUAGGGUUUUAGUGAAACCCGUUUCACCCGUUUUGUCAUCUUUAUUUUUUAAUUUGACGUGCACACUUAAGGAAUUAAGGGAGUAGGUUUGUUGACUUGGAUUGCAAUCAAAAGAUAAGUGACCAGUUAGUAGUAUUUGUGGAAAUUUGUUCUUUUGCUCAUUUUAAGGUUGGAAAGAGCAUACAUGGAAAAAAACUUAUCUCUGGUUCAACUGGUUUACCUGCUCAUAUGAAUGGCCAAAGGGUAGGAUAGUUAUUAAAAUCAGCAAUCAAAUUGAGAAUUGUUGAUAAAAUCUUCGCCACCUUCGAAGUUGAUCUCCAAUCAUUCUCUGGCUCUUUUGAUGCAACUUUUAUUUUUUGUUUCAUGAUCUGGUGGUGGUGCUUCGAGCAUCGGUGAUGGCAGUCUGGGAUAUACUGAGCAUACCGUCCUCAAAAUUUGAUACAUCAAUUUUGGAUCUUGCAGCUUAUUUCUCAUCAAUGGUUUUGGGGGUUCUGAAUCGUUGGCCGAAGCUCAAAAUUGGGAGAAAUAUGGGGUAAAUAUGUCCAAGGAGUUGACCUCUCUGGCCUCUUUAAAUGAAGUUCAGUUAUCUUGAAGAGGAACUUGAAGACCCAUCGCAUAUUAAAUCAAGUUGUUAAUGGCAGCUUCUGCUUGGGCUUGAUGCGAAUGCGGGGAAGUGACAACUUUACAGAGUUAUCAUGAGAGUUAUCAUGUUUGAGGUAAUAAUGAGGUGUUAAACGUUCCUCCAGUAGAGAUUAGCAAAGUUGAUACUAAUGUUGAUGUUUCUGAUAGACAAAUCCCCAUUUUGAGAAAAUUGAAGAAUCUGAUAUAUGUGAUUCUUCUGAAUCAAAUCUUGAAGUGACCAGGACAGAUAAGUUGGUCAAAGAUGGAGUUGUGGAACCCACACCUGAGCUAAGUCAUGCCCCCGUGUCAGAAGUUGUUAAACAAUCUGUAGUAGUUGAAGAAAUUAAGAUUGAAAAGUUUGAAUUGGAUGGUGAAGUUGCUCCUGAAGAUGUGAAAGGAUCUAAAACUGAUUAGGGGUUUUAGUGAAUAAAAUCAAGCAUGCAAAGUCUAAAUCUGAUCUUACAUAUGUUGAGAAGUUGAUCAAGAACCUAAAAUUGAUCAGAAUGUUUCAGUUCUAAAUAAAAAGAUGAAUCUUGGUUCUAUAAAGAAGUGAUUGGAAGAAUAUGGCUACUCAAAGUGAAGUUGGAGCAAAAGGUGCUACUACUAGACCGCCUCCGAAUCCGUACAUGUUACGGAUUGUUAAGUUUUUUGAGGAUGCAACUUUAGGAUCUGUGUAAGAGUGGUUUCUUGAAGCUCUCGAACUAUACUUAAUCACUAAUUUCAAUAGCGUUGGAUUUUGAAAUGCAUUAUCAUAAUCUAAGGAAUGAUGUGCUAUGAUAUAUGUUGCUUGAAGUCAAUUGCAAGGGAAUAUGGAUGAAUAUAGUAGGAGCUCAGGGAGACAAUCAUCACGGCCGGUUUUAAAAUCCGAAUUAUCCGGUAAAUCGACGCCCAGAGGUUCUCCAUCGUUUAGAAGAUUAAGCUCGAGUCGGACUCCUAGAAGAGAUGGGAGUAGCAAUGGAUUUAAUUCUCAUUGUUUCAGAAGCAACGGGAUAUUCUGUAGCCAUAGCCUUGGAGCUCUAGACGAUUCAUAUUCAAAAAUUGAGUCGAUAGGUUUUUGAAGUACACCAUUUCCAGGGUUUAUUUGAAAUUCUUUAUAUGUUGGGCGCAUUUAUGUCAAAUAACAAUGCUGGAGCAAAAAGUAUGUCUGGUGGGAUGAGCUUUACAUUGGUAGGUCCUAAACAAGUUUGGUGGAACAUUGUUAGUUGCUGGUGACAUCCAGAUUAAACGGAAACCAAAACCGAUGAUUAUUGCCGGUUUUGCCGUUGAGUACUUUUACCCAGGAUUUGGUGCAAUGCCUUAUUGCAAAUCAUUCAAAGGGGGCGCAAUAAUCUUGGUGUGUGAGUUUUUUGGAGUCAAAAUCAUCAUGGCCGUUUAUACAACAUUUAGGCCUGCAAGAAGGUGGAAUGGAUGCAAUCAAGCUGGAAGGGGGUGCACCAUCAAGGAUUUCAGCUGCAAAACACAUUGUUGAAGGUGGGAUUGAAGUUAUGGGGCAUGUAGGGUUGGCCCCUCAAGCCAUUAGUGUUCUUGGUAGAUUUAGACCUCAAGGGAGGAAUGUUCUCAGUGUUUUGAAACUUUGCCCCGGAUAUGUAAAAUGAACCGACCGUUUUUGGAAUAUUUGUUUAUAAAUAUGUAUAAUGUUCAUGAAAA